This 469-nucleotide ribosomal RNA is filed under the name Listeria monocytogenes. Its description in RNAcentral is "partial 23S ribosomal RNA". It matches the Rfam family "Bacterial large subunit ribosomal RNA", at positions 1 to 455 of the family's 2925-position model. Lineage: Bacteria; Bacillati; Bacillota; Bacilli; Caryophanales; Listeriaceae. The record is from RNAcentral.
AGUAAAUUGGUUAAGUUAGAAAGGGCGCACGGUGGAUGCCUUGGCACUAGGAGCCGAAGAAGGACGGGACUAACACCGAUAUGCUUUGGGGAGCUGUACGUAAGCGUUGAUCCAGAGAUUUCCGAAUGGGGGAACCCACUAUCUUUAGUCGGAUAGUAUCCUUACGUGAAUACAUAGCGUGAGGAAGGCAGACCCAGGGAACUGAAACAUCUAAGUACCUGGAGGAAGAGAAAGAAAAAUCGAUUUCCUGAGUAGCGGCGAGCGAAACGGAAAGAGCCCAAACCAAGAAGCUUGCUUCUUGGGGUUGUAGGACACUCUAUACGGAGUUACAAAAGAAAGUUAUAAAUGAAGCGGUCUGGAAAGGCCCGCCAAAGACGGUAACAGCCCGGUAGUUGAAAUGGCUUUCCCUCCAGAGUGGAUCCUGAGUACGGCGGAACACGUGAAAUUCCGUCGGAAUCCGGGAGGACCA